Molecule: transfer RNA, 74 nt
Filed under: Enterococcus cecorum
Lineage: Bacteria; Bacillati; Bacillota; Bacilli; Lactobacillales; Enterococcaceae
Description: tRNA-His
Rfam family: tRNA
About the family: Transfer RNA (tRNA) molecules are approximately 80 nucleotides in length. Their secondary structure includes four short double-helical elements and three loops (D, anti-codon, and T loops).
Source: RNAcentral
GCGAAUGUGGCGAAGUGGUUAACGCACCGGAUUGUGGCUCCGGCAUUCAUGAGUUCGAUUCUCAUCAUUCGCCC